GAACGCUGGCGGAAUGCUUUACACAUGCAAGUCGAACGGCAGCACGGAGAGCUUGCUCUCUGGUGGCGAGUGGCGAACGGGUGAGUAAUAUAUCGGAACGUGUCCAAUAAUGGGGGAUAACGAGUCGAAAGAUUCGCUAAUACCGCAUACGCCCUACGGGGGAAAGCAGGGGAUCGUAAGACCUUGCGUUAAUGGAGCGGCCGAUAUCUGAUUAGCUUGUUGGUGAGGUAAAGGCUCACCAAGGCGACGAUCAGUAGCUGGUUUGAGAGAACGACCAGCCACACUGGAACUGAGACACGGUCCAGACUCCUACGGGAGGCAGCAGUGGGGAAUUUUGGACAAUGGGGGCAACCCCGAUCCAGCCAUUCCGCGUGAGUGAAGAAGGC
Molecule: ribosomal RNA, 386 nt
Filed under: uncultured bacterium
Lineage: Bacteria
Description: bacterial SSU rRNA
Rfam family: Bacterial small subunit ribosomal RNA
Source: RNAcentral